AUGGAUCUCAAUCCGCAAGUCUUGUGCUGGAAUGUGCGUGGACUGAAUGACCCGGCGAAGAAGAAGGCGGUCAGAGAAUUCGUUUCGUCUGUUAGAGUAAACUUAGUGUGUCUUCAAGAGACCAAACUGGAUGUAAUUGACAAUUUCUGUGUGAUGCAAUGCUUAGGCCCAUCGUUCGACGGUUUCGCGUACUUGCCCUCGGUUGACACUAGAGGGGGGAUUCUCCUGGCUUGGGAUUCCACUAUCAUGGACAUUGAUUGCAUUCAUCUGGACAGCAACUUCCUCACAGGUUUAGUUCACAACAAAGAUGGGGCCUCAUGGUGGAUUUCGGUCGUUUAUGGACCACAGGGAGAUGACCUCAAAUCUCAGUUCCUAGAAGAUUUGCGAGCUAGAAGACUUGGCUGUACAGGCCCAUGGAUGAUUCUCGGAGAUUUCAAUAUGAUCCUUCGGGCGUCUGAGAAGAGCAACUCGAACUUGAACAGAGCUAUGAUGCGUAAGUUCCGGGACUUCAUGGACACUCAUGAGCUUAAAGAGCUGUACAUGCACGGCAGAAACUUCACUUGGACAAAUGAGAGAGAUAAUCCAAUCAUGACUAGGAUUGACAGAAUCUUAGUCUCUGUGGAUUGGGAGUUACACUUCACGGACUGCUUACUACAGGGGACGAGGCUCCUCUGA
RNAcentral lists this ribosomal RNA (675 nucleotides) under Triticum aestivum (bread wheat). RNAcentral describes it as "partial small subunit ribosomal RNA". The record is from RNAcentral. Lineage: Eukaryota; Viridiplantae; Streptophyta; Magnoliopsida; Poales; Poaceae.